GAUAAUUUGGAAUCGUAUUAGGUAAAGGCGUUUGUUAUACCAAAGAUGCGUAGUCGAAAGGCCACACUUCCACUGAAAUAAGGGGGAGACUCGUAAAGAGGCUGCAGUAGAGAGUUUUGUGCAAUGUAUGAAAGUAUGACACAGUAAUGUCGCAUAAGAUAGACCGUCUAAUGUACGUGCCAGCCGACGCGGUUAUACGUAAGGUCUGAAUUUUUGUUGAGAAAGGCGUAAAGGGUGUGUAGGUGGAUGAUAUAAGAUAUCGUGCGAGUUAAAGAGAGGAUAAAUAUAGCUUUUAUGUAACAAUAAAAUGUUUGAAGAUAAACGGGUAUUUCUAAGGCAAAAGCAUUUUACUACUUUUAACUAACACUCAAACACGAGAGUAGGGGGAGCAAACAGGAUUAGAUACCCUGGUAGUCUUUACUGUAAACUAUGGAGGUUAGAUUACAAGUUUAAUACGAAUACCGUAGUCUAUGAAAACUCAAAAGAUUCCGCCUGAAGAGUACAAUUGCAAGAUUAAAAUUUAAAAAAUUUGACGGUUUACUAUCUCAAUUAGAGGAGCGUGUAGUUUAAUUUGAUGGUCCGCAAUUAACCUUACCAAAACUUGAAUAUUUAAUACGUAAAUAAAUGAGUAUUAAUACAGGUAUUGCAUGGCCGUUGUCAGCUUGUGUUGUGAAAGAAAUAGAAAAAGCUCAACCUUAAACGAUAAUUUUUUAAAAUAACGUAAUAAGAGAUGACAACAGGUCCUUAUGAUCUAAAUGUUUUGGGCAACAUAUGCGCUACAAUCUUUUACACAAAGAGGUUUAUUACGAUUAAGUAAUCUCUAAAAUAAAAGUUCGGAUUGUUCUUUGAAAUGGGGGCAUAAAGUUGGAUUUAAUAGUAAUCGAAAAGUAGUGCGUUUCGGUGAAUCUGGUUAUAGUAUUCGUACAAAUCGCUCGUCACCUCCGCCAAGUAAAUAAUUUUUAAGUGUUUUAUUUAAGUUAGAGAGAUAAAU
RNAcentral lists this ribosomal RNA (991 nucleotides) under Thoosa mismalolli. RNAcentral describes it as "small subunit ribosomal RNA". It matches the Rfam family "Bacterial small subunit ribosomal RNA", at positions 224 to 1452 of the family's 1533-position model. The record is from RNAcentral. Lineage: Eukaryota; Metazoa; Porifera; Demospongiae; Tetractinellida; Thoosidae.